ACGAACGCUGGCGGCGUGCUUAACACAUGCAAGUCGAACGAAAGACGGGAAGAGCUUGCUNUUCCGGAAUUGAGUGGCAAACGGGUGAGUAACACGUAAACAACCUGCCUUCAGGAUGGGGACAACAGACGGAAACGACUGCUAAUACCGAAUAAGUUCCAAGAGCCGCAUGGCCCAUGGAAGAAAAGGUGGCCUCUACCUGUAAGCUAUCGCCUGAAGAGGGGUUUGCGUCUGAUUAGCUGGUUGGAGGGGUAACGGCCCACCAAGGCGACGAUCAGUAGCCGGUCUGAGAGGAUGAACGGCCACACUGGAACUGAGACACGGUCCAGACUCCUACGGGAGGCAGCAGUGGGGAAUCUUCCGCAAUGGGCGAAAGCCUGACGGAGCAACGCCGCGUGAGUGAUGACGGCCUUCGGGUUGUAAAACUCUGUGAUCCGGGACGAAAAGGCAGAGUGCGAAGAACAAACUGCAUUGACGGUACCGGAAAAGCAAGCCACGGCUAACUACGUG
This 510-nucleotide ribosomal RNA is filed under the name uncultured bacterium. Its description in RNAcentral is "bacterial SSU rRNA". It matches the Rfam family "Bacterial small subunit ribosomal RNA", at positions 30 to 507 of the family's 1533-position model. The record is from RNAcentral.